UUUCGUUCUGACAAACGUGAAUCGCGUCAAAGAAAAUUAAUUCUGCUUCGUAGAAGGAUACUAAGUGUCUACCUGUUGCACCGUGCUGCUAGACGAAACGGUCUCGAUCGUUUUCGGGGAAUCGCGAAAGUGAAGGGGCGAAAACAGAGUGGACGAGGGAAAGAAACAGGCAGAAAGAUAGAGACGGCGGUGGAUAGAGGGAGGAUGUGUAUGAGGAUAGAGAGAAAGGGAGAGAAGGAGAGAAGAGACAAGCACUUGGCGAAUGAAAAAUUUUACGCGUCUACGCGUAGGAAGAAAUUCUGCUGGUACGUCGCUGCCUUCGCAACUUGUUGCUAGUCACCCCGAGAUCUCUCUGGCUUCUCGAUUUCCGGCGCUGCCUUUUGCACACAGAUGCUGUAGUGGAACGAAAUAGUUUGCGUGAAACUGAUCCUUUGACCAUUGAUCCAUUAACGUCAGCGCGGUAUGUUCCUGUUCACUUUCAACGACAGAAGCCUUAGAACCUGUAGAAUGAUUCUACAUAGCAGUUAUAUAGCAGUCACGGUAAUUCACAGUUCU
Long non-coding RNA from Frieseomelitta varia, 555 nucleotides. RefSeq lists it as uncharacterized. The record is from RefSeq and is a predicted model, not a curated record. The transcript has 3 exons. Lineage: Eukaryota; Metazoa; Arthropoda; Insecta; Hymenoptera; Apidae.